This 381-nucleotide unclassified non-coding RNA is filed under the name Hevea brasiliensis (rubber tree). Lineage: Eukaryota; Viridiplantae; Streptophyta; Magnoliopsida; Malpighiales; Euphorbiaceae. The record is from RNAcentral.
GUAAGAAAAUUUGGCCAACUCCCUCUCUCACCCAAGAUAAGAAGAACAGGAAAAGAAGAAAGAGAAAAUCUUGUGCUGCUGAAGAACUGGUUUAAAAAGGGUGUUGGCCUUGCCUGAUAUCAGAACUGGUUUACAAAGUGUGUCAGUACGCAAAAUUUCAAUGCAGACCCAUGAGUAGGGCUGGAUCAUCUAUGUCUCUGUUAGUAGAGGAAUAAUAGAUGCAUCAAGUGCUAGUUAUUAUGAUUGCAACUUCUGUUAGACCUUGGAGAAUUAACAGCUUUUCUAUUAGUUUAUUUUUUUUCCCUUAAUCUGAUAAUAACAUAUUUAUUGCAAAAAGUGCUAUGAUAAUAUGAGAAUACAAGGGGAAAAGGAAAGGAAGAA